This 406-nucleotide ribosomal RNA is filed under the name uncultured bacterium. Its description in RNAcentral is "partial 16S ribosomal RNA". It matches the Rfam family "Bacterial small subunit ribosomal RNA", at positions 30 to 526 of the family's 1533-position model. The record is from RNAcentral.
AUUGAACGCUGGCGGCAGGCCUAACACAUGCAAGUCGAACGCGUGGCGGACGCGUGAGUAUUGUCUCGAAAACUUUCCGCUGGCGGGGGAUAUCUCCUUGAAAAAGUACCUCUUACCGCAUACGCUCAUAUGUACCCAGAUGGGAUUAUCUUGUUGGUGGGGUAAAGGCUCACCAAGGCGACGAUCCCUAGCUGGUCUGAGAGGAUGACCAGCCACACUGGAACUGAGACACGGUCCAGACUCCUACGGGAGGCAGCAGUGGGGAAUAUUGCACAAUGGGCGCAAUCCUGAUGCAGCCAUGCGGCGUGUAUGAAGAAGGCCUUCGGGUUGUAAAGUACUUUCAGCGGGGAGGCGUUACCCGCAGAAGAAGCACCGGCUAACUCCGUGCCAGCAGCCGCGGUAAUAC